GUCGAGCGAACAGACGAGGAGCUUGCUCCUCUGACGUUAGCGGCGGACGGGUGAGUAACACGUGGGUAACCUACCUAUAAGACUGGGAUAACUCCGGGAAACCGGGGCUAAUACCGGAUAACACAUGAAACCGCAUGGUUUCAUGAUGAAAGACGGUUUUGCUGUCACUUAUAGAUGGACCCGCGGCGUAUUAGCUAGUUGGUAAGGUAACGGCUUACCAAGGCAACGAUACGUAGCCGACCUGAGAGGGUGAUCGGCCACACUGGAACUGAGACACGGUCCAGACUCCUACGGGAGGCAGCAGUAGGGAAUCUUCCGCAAUGGGCGAAAGCCUGACGGAGCAACGCCGCGUGAGUGAUGAAGGUCUUCGGAUCGUAAAACUCUGUUAUUAGGGAAGAACAAGGAUGUAAGUAACUAUGCAUCCCUUGACGGUACCUAAUCAGAAAGCCACGGCUAACUACGUGCCAGCAGCCGCGGUAAUACGUAGGUGGCAAGCGUUAUCCGGAAUUAUUGGGCGUAAAGCGCGCGUAGGCGGUUUUUUAAGUCUGAUGUGAAAGCCCACGGCUCAACCGUGGAGGGUCAUUGGAAACUGGAAAACUUGAGUGCAGAAGAGGAAAGUGGAAUUCCAUGUGUAGCGGUGAAAUGCGCAGAGAUAUGGAGGAACACCAGUGGCGAAGGCGACUUUCUGGUCUGCAACUGACGCUGAUGUGCGAAAGCGUGGGGAUCAAACAGGAUUAGAUACCCUGGUAGUCCACGCCGUAAACGAUGAGUGCUAAGUGUUAGGGGGUUUCCGCCCCUUAGUGCUGCAGCUAACGCAUUAAGCACUCCGCCUGGGGAGUACGGCCGCAAGGCUGAAACUCAAAGGAAGUUGACGGGGACCCGCACAAGCGGUGGAGCAUGUGGUUUAAUUCGAAGCAACGCGAAGAACCUUACCAAAUCUU
This 941-nucleotide ribosomal RNA is filed under the name Staphylococcus simulans. RNAcentral describes it as "bacterial SSU rRNA". It matches the Rfam family "Bacterial small subunit ribosomal RNA", at positions 61 to 982 of the family's 1533-position model. Lineage: Bacteria; Bacillati; Bacillota; Bacilli; Caryophanales; Staphylococcaceae. The record is from RNAcentral.